GAUAAACUGUAUGGGGCUUGAUACUUCACCAAAUUGGAUCUCCGUUCCUAUUAUCAUCGAAUUUGAAUGGAUGAUGUAGAUGUGGAGAAAAUAGCUUUCCGGACUCGUCAUGGCCAUUUCGAGAUUUUGGUGAUGCCAUUCAGUCCCACUAACGCUCCAUCUACCUUCCAGGCACUUAUGAAUGCAAUUUUCAAACCUCAUCUACAUAAG
Molecule: unclassified non-coding RNA, 210 nt
Filed under: Hevea brasiliensis (rubber tree)
Lineage: Eukaryota; Viridiplantae; Streptophyta; Magnoliopsida; Malpighiales; Euphorbiaceae
Source: RNAcentral